RNAcentral lists this ribosomal RNA (586 nucleotides) under uncultured bacterium. RNAcentral's name for it is "partial 16S ribosomal RNA". It matches the Rfam family "Bacterial small subunit ribosomal RNA", at positions 355 to 1375 of the family's 1533-position model. The record is from RNAcentral.
UGGGGAAUUUUGGACAAUGGGCGAAAGCCUGAUCCAGCAAUGCCGCGUGUGUGAAGAAGGCCUUCGGGUUGUAAAGCACUUUUGUCCGGAAAGAAAUCCUCUGGGUUAAUACCUCGGGGGGAUGACGGUACCGGAAGAAUAAGCACCGGCUAACUACGUGCCAGCAGCCGCGGUAAUACGUAGGGUGCAAGCGUUAAUCGGAAUUACUGGGCGUAAAGCGUGCGCAGGCGGUUUUGUAAGACGGAUGUGAAAUCCCCGGGCUUAACCUGGGAACUGCAUUCGUGACUGCAAGGCUAGAGUAUGGCAGAGGGGGGUAGAAUUCCACGUGUAGCAGUGAAAUGCGUAGAGAUGUGGAGGAAUACCGAUGGCGAAGGCAGCCCCCUGGGCCAAUACUGACGCUCAUGCACGAAAGCGUGGGGAGCAAACAGGAUUAGAUACCCUGGUAGUCCACGCCCUAAAACGAUGUCAACUAGUUGUUGGGGAUUCAUUUCCUUAGUAACGUAGCUAACGCGUGAAGUUGACCGCCUGGGGAGUACGGUCGCAAGAUUAAAACUCAAAGGAAUUGACGGGGUCAUAGCUGUUUCCU